GACGAACGCUGGCGGCGUGCUUAACACAUGCAAGUCGAACGGAAAGGCCCUGCUUUUGUGGGGUGCUCGAGUGGCGAACGGGUGAGUAACACGUGAGUAACCUGCCCUUGACUUUGGGAUAACUUCAGGAAACUGGGGCUAAUACCGGAUAGGAGCUCCUGCUGCAUGGUGGGGGUUGGAAAGUUUCGGCGGUUGGGGAUGGACUCGCGGCUUAUCAGCUUGUUGGUGGGGUAGUGGCUUACCAAGGCUUUGACGGGUAGCCGGCCUGAGAGGGUGACCGGCCACAUUGGGACUGAGAUACGGCCCAGACUCCUACGGGAGGCAGCAGUGGGGAAUGUUGCACUGUGGGCGGAAGCCUGAUGCAGCAACGCCGCGUGCGGGAUGACGGCCUUCGGUUUGUAAACCGCUUUCGCCUGUGACGAAGCGUGAGUGACGGUAAUGGGUAAAGAAGCACCGGCUAACUACGUG
Molecule: ribosomal RNA, 468 nt
Filed under: uncultured bacterium
Lineage: Bacteria
Description: partial 16S ribosomal RNA
Rfam family: Bacterial small subunit ribosomal RNA
Source: RNAcentral